This 99-nucleotide transfer RNA is filed under the name Roseofilum sp. Belize Diploria. RNAcentral describes it as "tRNA-Ser". Lineage: Bacteria; Bacillati; Cyanobacteriota; Cyanophyceae; Desertifilales; Desertifilaceae. The record is from RNAcentral.
GGACGUAUUAGCCUCUCCCCAAGUAACUUUAGGCUUGAUUUGGUGGCUAGAGUCACGUUGACAUCGUGGAGGUCACAGGUUCGAGUCCCGUUACGUCCA